GACUCUCGGCAACGGAUAUCUCGGCUCUCGCAUCGAUGAAGAACGUAGCGAAAUGCGAUACUUGGUGUGAAUUGCAGAAUCCCGUGAACCAUCGAGUUUUUGAACGCAAGUUGCGCCCGAAGCCAUUAGGCCGAGGGCACGCCUGCCUGGGUGUCACGCAACGUCGCCACGAAUCCCCUCACCCCCCCGAAGGGGAACAGGGAGGGACGGCGGAUACUGGCCUCCCGUGCGCUCCCGCUCGCGGUUGGCCCAAAACACAGCCCCCUGGCGAUGGCGGCCACGGCACGCGGUGGUUGGCAGCACGAGCUCCUCGAGCACCGCCGUGCGCGAGCCUCGUCGAGGGGUGGCAAGAGACCCCGACGAAAGCGUCCUCACAGAGCGACCCCAGGUCAGGCGGGAACACCCGCUGAGUUUAAG
RNAcentral lists this ribosomal RNA (417 nucleotides) under Haydenoxylon gentryi. Its description in RNAcentral is "eukaryotic LSU rRNA". The stretch from base 1 to 156 matches the Rfam family "5.8S ribosomal RNA". The record is from RNAcentral. Lineage: Eukaryota; Viridiplantae; Streptophyta; Magnoliopsida; Celastrales; Celastraceae.